CCUACGUGUGGCAGCAGUGGGGAAUAUUGGACAAUGGGCGAAAGCCUGAUCCAGCCAUGCCGCGUGUGUGAAGAAGGCCUUCGGGUUGUAAAGCACUUUCAGUGGGGAAGAAAGCCUUGGGGCUAAUACCCUCGAGGAAGGACAUCACCCACAGAAGAAGCACCGGCUAACUCCGUGCCAGCAGCCGCGGUAAUACGGAGGGUGCGAGCGUUAAUCGGAAUUACUGGGCGUAAAGCGCGCGUAGGCGGUCUGAUAAGCCGGUUGUGAAAGCCCCGGGCUCAACCUGGGAACGGCAUCCGGAACUGUCAGGCUAGAGUGCAGGAGAGGAAGGUAGAAUUCCCGGUGUAGCGGUGAAAUGCGUAGAGAUCGGGAGGAAUACCAGUGGCGAAGGCGGCCUUCUGGACUGACACUGACGCUGAGGUGCGAAAGCAUGGGUAGCAAACAGGAUUAGAUACCCUGGUAGUC
Molecule: ribosomal RNA, 465 nt
Filed under: Vreelandella stevensii
Lineage: Bacteria; Pseudomonadati; Pseudomonadota; Gammaproteobacteria; Oceanospirillales; Halomonadaceae
Description: partial 16S ribosomal RNA
Rfam family: Bacterial small subunit ribosomal RNA
Source: RNAcentral